Molecule: ribosomal RNA, 275 nt
Filed under: uncultured prokaryote
Description: partial 16S ribosomal RNA
Rfam family: Bacterial small subunit ribosomal RNA
Source: RNAcentral
UACGGAGGAUGCGAGCGUUAUCCGGAUUUAUUGGGUUUAAAGGGUGCGUAGGCGGGACCAUAAGUCAGCGGUGAAAGUUUUCGGCUCAACCGGAAAAUUGCCGUUGAAACUGUGGUUCUUGAGUGCAGAAGAGGUAGGCGGAAUUCGUUGUGUAGCGGUGAAAUGCGUAGAUAUAACGAAGAACACCAAUUGCGUAGGCAGCUUACCAUACUGCAACUGACGCUGAGGCACGAAAGUGUGGGUAUCAAACAGGAUUAGAUACCCUGGUAGUCCCU